Molecule: ribosomal RNA, 301 nt
Filed under: uncultured bacterium
Lineage: Bacteria
Description: partial 16S ribosomal RNA
Rfam family: Bacterial small subunit ribosomal RNA
Source: RNAcentral
CAGUAGCCGCGGGAAAACAGAGGGUGCGAGCGUUAAUCGGAUUUACUGGGCGUAAAGCGUGCGUAGGCGGCUUUUUAAGUCGGAUGUGAAAUCCCUGAGCUUAACUUAGGAAUUGCAUUCGAUACUGGGAAGCUAGAGUAUGGGAGAGGAUGGUAGAAUUCCAGGUGUAGCGGUGAAAUGCGUAGAGAUCUGGAGGAAUACCGAUGGCGAAGGCAGCCAUCUGGCCUAAUACUGACGCUGAGGUACGAAAGCAUGGGGAGCAAACAGGAUUAGAUACCCGGGUAGUCCCUGUCUCUUAUAA